RNAcentral lists this ribosomal RNA (492 nucleotides) under uncultured bacterium. RNAcentral's name for it is "partial 16S ribosomal RNA". It matches the Rfam family "Bacterial small subunit ribosomal RNA", at positions 29 to 507 of the family's 1533-position model. The record is from RNAcentral.
AGUGAACGCUGGCGGUAGGCCUAACACAUGCAAGUCGAACGGCAGCACAGUAAGAGCUUGCCCUUACGGGUGGCGAGUGGCGGACGGGUGAGGAAUACAUCGGAAUCUACUUUUUCGUGGGGGAUAACGGAGGGAAACUUACGCUACUACCGCAUACGACCUACGGGUGAAAGCAGGGGAUCUUCGGACCUUGCGCGAUUCAAUGAGCCGAUGUCGGAUUAGCUAGUUGGCGGGGUAAAGGCCCACCAAGGCGACGAACCGUAGCUGGUCUGAGAGGAUGAUCAGCCACACUGGAACUGAGACACGGUCCAGACUCCUACGGGAGGCAGCAGUGGGGAAUAUUGGACAAUGGGCGCAAGCCUGAUCCAGCCAUACCGCGUGGGUGAAGAAGGCCUUCGGGUUGUAAAGCCCUUUUGUUGGGAAAGAAAAGCAGCAGGUUAAUACCCCGCUGUUCUGACGGUACCCAAAGAAUAAGCACCGGCUAACUUCGUG